UGGGAAUUAAUUCAGUGGAAGAAUACACGGAUUAUAUCCGGGUUGUCGAGGGUUCGAUUCCUUCAUUCCCAA
Molecule: transfer RNA, 72 nt
Filed under: Caudoviricetes sp.
Lineage: Duplodnaviria; Heunggongvirae; Uroviricota; Caudoviricetes
Description: tRNA-Ile
Rfam family: tRNA
About the family: Transfer RNA (tRNA) molecules are approximately 80 nucleotides in length. Their secondary structure includes four short double-helical elements and three loops (D, anti-codon, and T loops). Further hydrogen bonds mediate the characteristic L-shaped molecular structure. tRNAs have two regions of fundamental functional importance: the anti-codon, which is responsible for specific mRNA codon recognition, and the 3' end, to which the tRNAs corresponding amino acid is attached (by aminoacyl-tRNA synthetases). tRNAs cope with the degeneracy of the genetic code in two manners: having more than one tRNA (with a specific anti-codon) for a particular amino acid; and 'wobble' base-pairing, i.e. permitting non-standard base-pairing at the 3rd anti-codon position.
Source: RNAcentral